CGUCGAAUGGUUUGGCGGCGAACAGGGCUGGGCGCUGACGACGCACGCCGACGGCAGCUUCGACGUGCUGUUCGACGGC
Molecule: transfer RNA, 79 nt
Filed under: Oxalicibacterium flavum
Lineage: Bacteria; Pseudomonadati; Pseudomonadota; Betaproteobacteria; Burkholderiales; Oxalobacteraceae
Description: tRNA-Val
Source: RNAcentral